UCCGGUUUGUCACCGGCAGUCCCAUUAGAGUGCCCAACUGAAUGUGGCAACUAAUGGCAAGGGUUGCGCUCGUUGCGGGACUUAACCCAACAUCUCACGACACGAGUUGACGACAGCCAUGCAGCACCUGUGUCCAGGUUCCCUUUCGGGCACCCCUCCAUCUCUGGAGGGUUCCUGGCAUGUCAAGGGUAGGUAAGGUUUUUCGCGUUGCAUCGAAUUAAUCCACAUAAUCCACCGCUUGUGCGUGUCCCCGUCAAUUCCUUUGAGUUUUAGCCUUGCGGCCGUACUCCCCAGGCGGGGUGCUUAAUGCGUUAGCUUCGGCACGGAAAGGGUUGAAGGCCUCCCCGACAACCAGUUGACAUAGUUUAGGGCGUGGACUAC
Molecule: unclassified non-coding RNA, 381 nt
Filed under: uncultured Gammaproteobacteria bacterium
Lineage: Bacteria; Pseudomonadati; Pseudomonadota; Gammaproteobacteria
Description: contains 16S-23S intergenic spacer region
Source: RNAcentral